This 85-nucleotide transfer RNA is filed under the name Felis catus (domestic cat). It matches the Rfam family "tRNA". Rfam says of the family: Transfer RNA (tRNA) molecules are approximately 80 nucleotides in length. Their secondary structure includes four short double-helical elements and three loops (D, anti-codon, and T loops). Further hydrogen bonds mediate the characteristic L-shaped molecular structure. tRNAs have two regions of fundamental functional importance: the anti-codon, which is responsible for specific mRNA codon recognition, and the 3' end, to which the tRNAs corresponding amino acid is attached (by aminoacyl-tRNA synthetases). tRNAs cope with the degeneracy of the genetic code in two manners: having more than one tRNA (with a specific anti-codon) for a particular amino acid; and 'wobble' base-pairing, i.e. permitting non-standard base-pairing at the 3rd anti-codon position. RNAcentral also lists the same sequence under 2 other names. The record is from Rfam by way of RNAcentral. Lineage: Eukaryota; Metazoa; Chordata; Mammalia; Carnivora; Felidae.
GCCUGGGUGGCUCAGUCGGUUGAGCGUCCGACUUCGGCUCAGGUCAUGAUCUCACAGCUUGUGGGUUCAAGCCCCAUAUCAGGCU